This 5128-nucleotide long non-coding RNA is filed under the name Musa acuminata (dwarf banana). Its description in RNAcentral is "long non-coding RNA (MACU_LNC007451)". Lineage: Eukaryota; Viridiplantae; Streptophyta; Magnoliopsida; Zingiberales; Musaceae. The record is from RNAcentral.
AGAGACCCGACAAUUGUUAAGGAAUUAGUUAACCCAUGGAGAGAUGUUUAGACUUCGUUUUUAGGAUCUUCUACUUGGAUCUACCAUCUCACUAUUUUCUUUAGUUAUUCACUAGAGCACAAUGUUGAUAUGGAACAUAUCGGUUCCUUUAUUCUUUCCCGACCCGAUGCCUUCCUUGGCUGUCAUUUGCAUAUAACUCGCUAAUGCUGCUGGGAAUGCCCUUGGCGGAUUCUAUCUUCUCUUGGUGAAGUAACUUGCUGACAGUCCUCCAAUAAAUGACCUUGCCUUCUCUGCGUGCCUGCCCAAAAUGACCCGGAGACGGUGUUCCAAACUGGGAAUUAGAGCUCAGUUACAUUAUAUACUAGGAUAGGAAAGGGCUCUCCGUUGAUGACCCGAAAGUGAAAGUUUUCGUUGGCUGGCAGCAUGGGAAGGGGCUUUAUUUACUGAACCUACUUGCUUGACCGCGGGAGAGAGACAAUGGGACUACUUACCUUCCUUCCUUCCAAAACCUCUAAACCAGAUGUAUGGUACCAAUUCAUACUUAGCUGCGGUAACUGCCGACUCUUACUAUGGAGUGGAAUCCGUAACUGGCUACAUCUUCCGAAGACCGAGCAAGCGUAACGGAGUCAUCCGUAACUGAUUCAACCGAGAAUGGCAGAUAGGAAGUGACUAAGCAGAUCGAGUUGCGGGGUUUGGUUUUCACUGGCUAAGGCAGAUCCCUGAUACUACUAAUCCGAAGUGACUCUAUGAGUCAAAGAAGAUGAAGCCUUAACAGCAACUGACUCGUAAAGAAGAUGAAGCCUUAACAGCAACUGACUCGGGGUUAUACCUAAACUAUUAACUAUGCGGUUGGGUCCCAGUCCUAACUUUCUUGUCUGCGCUGCGCGAACUACUUUCUUUCGGUUUAUUAUCUUUCUUUUUUGUAAGCAGAAGCGUUCAAGAUCUCUCGCGGUAAAGGUUCUUCCUCUGUGAGCUUUUCUCUUUACGUGGUCCAAGCCAAACUUAUAUAUACGCGUCUAUAGUUUAGGAUCACAACUAUAAAGACAGAUUUAGAGCAUCACCCACUCUUUUCUAUUCCACCUCUUUCUUUGGAAGUUUGUUCUUGAUUCUUUCUUCAAAACGGCUAUUACUGCGCUUUAAUCACAAGUUAUAGCUGCUGCUUCAAUGUUUUUUUUAUUCAAAUGAACUUUCUUGAACAAUCCCCAUGAAUAGGAUAAACCCCUUAUUCCAUGAUAUUUCCAUAAGAUUCCACUAAUAAGUAGAUGGCUAUGUCUUAUCCCGGAUCUAGAAGUAACCAGCUCUUUUUAUAGCCUAUAGUUUCACCAAACAAAAGCAAAGGCUUCUUUUCCUUUUUCUCUUAGAAAGUGGUUCCACACAAGUUGCAAGUAACAUCAAGUCACUCAUUACAGAAUCCGUGCUAAUUAUGGUAUGUAGAGGAGAGUGCACCAUCCAUUUUUCCUUUGCGUCGUUGCGAAGUCAAAGAACUAACACGUUCCGAGGCGACUGUGCUACAAAGUGAUUGCUGGAGCUGGAGCAGUUGCUUGUUCAAUAAGUGAGUAGUUUCUUGCUUAUUUGUGCUUGAGAAAAUCAUUUAGCGUUCGUUCAUACUGUCUAUAGAAAAUGUAACAAAACAACCUUCACUGAGAAGAGCGGCACUCAUAUCAUAUAGAAGUUAUGCCUGCUUGGAGCAGUUUUUGACUUUCAAAUGAGCAGGGCUCUGGUCUAUGGGAGUGAGGGCAGAGUAAACACUUUUCUUUCCUCCCCCGUCCCUUUCGAGACUGAAGUAAACAAAUACUCAAUUGGUUUUUAAGGCAUCAGAGAAUUACUGGAAUUUCAUAUAUGCUAUUAUAGAGAAUAAGCAAUGGCAUACGCUAUAAGCUAUCGAACUGUGCCUAAAUUCCUUCUCAAUCGCAGCUGUAUACUGAAGUAAAGUAAAUGGCUUUGCUUGCAUUAAAGAAAGAAGUAGGCUCAUCUGCUUUUGUUAAGCAAAGAAGAAAUAGAGAACAGUGAUGCUAACAACCAGAAUCCAAUCAGGGAGUUAAAGAGGUGAGCUAGUCAUAAAGUCAGAAUGCAACUGGAUAGACUCGGAAUGACACUCGCCAACCUAACCUAACUAGUAUGUAAACCCAGUAAGUUAACUAAGUAAGUCAAAACUAAGUCAGUCAACCUGCAUACCCUAGUAACAGAGGAAUUCCACAAGCCUACCCGAGUAACUGAAUGAUGAGUUGCGGUAAACGGGGUCAGUCUAAUCUAAGCGUUGCAUUCUUGAUUCUUUCUAUUAUUAAUAUGAGCUUUCCUAGCCUGCCUAAACGAUAACAACAUACCUUUUCUUUAUUGGAGUUUAAGGGGAAGGAAGGGGUGCGUGCGAAAGAUAUAAGUAGAGAAAACAAAUCUUAUGUGGAAUCUGAAACUGCCUAUGAUAUAAUAAUGGGGACCCACAAAUAGCUGGAAACGGGCUUCGUCCCACAGACAAGUAAACAGGCUUGCUUACCAAGUAAACAGGCUUGCUUACUAAGUACUUGUAAUGUAACUCCCACUCGAUCGAAGGUCAGGGGCAGGGAUCAAAAGGGCAGCAAAGCACUAGCUUACAGGGAAGAACAGUGCGUAAAGAAAUAUGAGACACUAUAGACAAGGGAAUGCUACUGGACAAUGCCACGGACACUUACUUUUGAUAUAGUCACUUCAUAAUUAGUCCUCUUACUUUUAGUCCAGCGCUAUUACAGGUAAGAGUCAAUCAAAACGGAAAGCAACAUAGGCCUUUAUUCAGAGAGAUUCUCUAUGCUGGCAACAGCUACUCCAAUUACCCCCCGUAUAAACUCCAACAUAUACAGUUUGUCAAGCAGGGCGAUGAUCGUUAUCUCCGAAAAGGGGACAGAAAAAGCUCGCGGCGUCUAGUGAUUCCCUCAUCUCCGGACAGGGGCAGAAUGAUCUAUCUAUUAUAGAAUCUAAACCCUUAAACCCUAUCUCCCCGAACUAUUGGUUUCCUUUGCCCUACUAGGGACUGCCGGAAAAGUGAUGGAAGAAGUCCAUUUAUACGGGCCACCUCUGUCCUAUUGCGAGAGGAUACUAUGCUUAUAAAUAAGCUGCUAUAUCCCCUUGCCUGCUACUCAAGUUCAAUAAAAAGAAACUUCUCGAUUUCGAACUGAUGUGAGGCUUUAAGGAGUGGGAACUAAAACAGCUCUUCUGGUCCAGCCCACCAACUCCCGCUCUAACUGUAUAGAAAAGGGAUGAUAUAACGGAUGGAAUCAAACCCCAAAAGAAAGGAAACUCAAAGGGAAAACACGUCUACUGCAAGAAAACUCAAAUCGACGCAAAGUAAUGAGUUAGGAUUGAAGAUAGGAUUGGCUGGCAGGAAAGGCUUUUCUUAGGACUUCCGCUAGAUGACCUGCAACUGAACCUUUGAUUGGCCCUAGGAGUGCAUUUGUAUGGCUUGAAACUCCAACAGGUCCUAUGGGGCUAUAGAUAGUGACUCCAACAGAAACAGCAUCUAAGCUUUCUCCAAUGAUGGGAGAGAAGAGAGAAGAAAUGAAAGAGAAAUCAUGCCACUUCACUUGAAGAAGAUUUAGAAGGCUUACUUGAGACCGCCUUACACAAACAAGGGGGAGCUUAUGAAUGAAAGCAAACUGGAACAGUGAUGAGCAGUCGAUCUAGCACUUUCCCAGUACUUUAUAAGGAAAGGACAUAAAAACGAGGGGUUUGAGUCUGUGGGGUGGGUAGCCUACACAACAGGGAAAGAAAAGAGGGACUAUUCGGAGGAGACAGCGCCUAUCAGUAGGAAAGACGGGAAGAGCCUAUUCAUAAGAAGGAUAGAGCCAAUGAAUAGGAUUUACUGACGGGGGAAGAGAAGAGCCUAUGAAUAAGAAGGAUAGAUCCUAUGAAUAAGAAGGGAAUUGGAUUUAUUGUACGACCCGAUAUAUACGACAACAUUGUAGACUGACUGACCCCUGUAUCCAUCAUUAAGGAAGAAGAAAGAGGCUGGCUUCUAAUUGACUACUUAAGGAAGAAGAAAGAGGCUGGCUUCUAAUUGACUACUUAAGGAAGAAGAGGCUUUGUUUACUACCCGCAGCAAGAACUCACUACAGCGCAACAGAGUAACGUCUUUUGUUGCUUGUUGAGUCAGAGCAGUGAGCAAGUCCUGAGUGUCUAAUGAAAGUGUUAGUGCAGCCAAGGGAACAAGGAAUGAUUCAAACGGUUCUCAAAAACUCGCACAAACAAGAAGCUUUCUUUUCUCAUAUCUUAUAUAUGCUUUCUUUUCUCAUAUCUUAUAUAUACUAUGGAUGUAAUAUCUUAUAUAUACAAUGGAUGAUGUUCUUAUGUAUGAUUUCUUGAGUUUAUUCAAUUAUUUCUAAUUGUAGUUUAUUCAAGUAGAUGUUAAUGUGAAUGAACCAUAACUAUGUAGACCUAUUCUUAAUAGAUUGAUUCCUACCUAAGAUAUAAUAGAAUAUAGACUUCCUAUAGAAGCUACAAGUGCCGAAUUCGUACUUUCUUUGCUAAUACUUUUCUAGUAGUAUUUUCUAGUAGUAUUUAGACUCCUAGUAUGAGUAUGUGAAUAAAUCUAGAAUAUGGUCAAAGUCAGAAAAGCCAAAGUGUCUUUUGGGUCCCAAUUCCAAUAAUAUCCCCAUGACUCAUUAGCCCAUACUGCUCCACUAAGAAUGCCUAUGGUGAAAAAAGAAACCCUAAACACUAAUGAAACGAUCACUCGAACAGGCCAGGACAUUAUGAUUCUUAUGCUCACUUUCUAACUCCCCUUGAAGACCCGCUUUCCUAUUCUUCUUUUUUCACAUGAUCCUAAUUCUUUUCUCGCUUCUGAUCAAUAGGAAUAUGCUUCCUCACCAAAUCCAGCUUAAGAUCCCACUUCUUCUCUUUCUACUGCUUAGAUUCGGCUUGCUGCUUCCUUUUUCACAGCUGAUGCUCUGGUCUACUUUCGAACUAUAACAUAUGCACAAUAAACAGAUUCCAUAAAUGAUGAAACAAGGCACUCUUAAGAUUCCAUUCAUGAUUUGUUUUCCUCUGCGCUAACUGGAAAGGGUGUUUCAGUCAUCCCUUGUUUGAUCAGUGUUGUCAACUGGAAUAGAAUGUCCUGUUCCUAUUUACGGUGUAAUCGGUUCGGUUCAUCAAGGAGAGUUAG